Long non-coding RNA from Oreochromis aureus, 682 nucleotides. The record is from Ensembl. Lineage: Eukaryota; Metazoa; Chordata; Actinopteri; Cichliformes; Cichlidae.
UGUGAGGCACGGAGGAAGAGGACAGCCCGGAGACUUUCCACACACACACACAUGCUUCACUGGAACUGCGACUCUCGGCAGACGGAUUUAUUUCUCUGUGUGGAUGCAGCUACUUCCUUAACGAUCAUGAGGAAUGUGCCCGCAGACCACCUGCUUGUCUUUCGCUUCAAGUCGCGGUGUCGGCUACCACCACCUAUUUCUACACACACCCCUGUGACCUGCUCUACUGUAGAGGAUCAAUAGGGGGUCCAUGACCCUCUUGGGGACACUCCCAUAGGGCUUAAAAUCUGGGACUCUCCACCAGUUGCUCUUAGAACUGAAGAAACUUCCUGGAUGAGAGGUGAAACGUCUUCAAGGAAACUUAAAGAAUUCCAGACACUUUUCUUUCCAAGCUCCGUAGACUACGAUGACCUGGAUGACUGAGAAUCUUCACAGUCAUUAAUAUAGGCCACACCAGGUGGGUAAUGAAUCCUACCAUUUCACACCGUAUCACGGUUGUCAUCGUGUAUUUUCACCAUUCUGUCUCCAGAAACGAGUGUUUGUUGAAGCACUCUGAGAGUUGCAGAUCAGGGGAGCACUGCGGCCAACAGCAGAUGUGGAAAGCAUUAAAGUGAGCUGAGAAUUCUGAUCCAGUUCCUGCGUUGGACAGUUCUCAGGCCAGUCGGUGUGUUAGGUUGGGUGG